Molecule: ribosomal RNA, 463 nt
Filed under: Photobacterium leiognathi
Lineage: Bacteria; Pseudomonadati; Pseudomonadota; Gammaproteobacteria; Vibrionales; Vibrionaceae
Description: bacterial LSU rRNA
Rfam family: Bacterial large subunit ribosomal RNA
Source: RNAcentral
AUUGGGUAGGGGAGCGUUCUGUAAGCCGUUGAAGGUGUGCUGUAAGGCAUGCUGGAGGUAUCAGAAGUGCGAAUGCUGACAUGAGUAACGAUAAAGGGAGUGAAAAACUCCCUCGCCGGAAGAUCAAGGGUUCCUGUCCAACGUUAAUCGGGGCAGGGUAAGUCGACCCCUAAGGCGAGGCCGAAAGGCGUAGUCGAUGGGAAACGGGUUAAUAUUCCCGUACUUCUUAUAAUUGCGAUGGAGGGACGGAGAAGGCUAGGUGAGCCUGGCGACGGUUGUCCAGGUCCAAGUAUGUAGGCUGAUGGUUUAGGCAAAUCCGGACCAUCUUAAGGCUGAGAUACGAUGUCGAGUCACUACGGUGAUGAAGUCAUUGAUGCCAUGCUUCCGGGAAAAGCUUCUAAGCUUCAGAUUAUAAGGAAUCGUACCCCAAACCGACACAGGUGAUCAGGUAGAGAAUACCAAG